This 825-nucleotide ribosomal RNA is filed under the name Gymnopleurus sp. sp74. RNAcentral describes it as "SSU rRNA". It matches the Rfam family "Eukaryotic small subunit ribosomal RNA", at positions 470 to 1255 of the family's 1831-position model. The record is from RNAcentral. Lineage: Eukaryota; Metazoa; Arthropoda; Insecta; Coleoptera; Scarabaeidae.
ACGAAAAAUAACGAUACGGGACUCAUCCGAGGCCCCGUAAUCGGAAUGAGUACACUCUAAACCCUUUAACGAGGAUCAAUUGGAGGGCAAGUCUGGUGCCAGCAGCCGCGGUAAUUCCAGCUCCAAUAGCGUAUAUUAAAGUUGUUGCGGUUAAAAAGCUCGUAGUCGAAUUUGUGUCCCGCGCCGCCGGUUCAUCGCUCGCGGUGUCAACUGGCGUGUCCGCGGGACGUCCUGCCGGUGGGCUUAGCCUUUCGGGGCGGCCCAAUCUCAAUCCCAUCGCGGUGCUCUUCACUGAGUGUCGAGGUGGGCCGGCACGUUUACUUUGAACAAAUUAGAGUGCUUAAAGCAGGCUAAAUACCGCCUGAAUACUGGUGCAUGGAAUAAUGGAAUAGGACCUCGGUUCUAUUUUGUUGGUUUUCGGAACCCCGAGGUAAUGAUUAAUAGGAACGGAUGGGGGCAUUCGUAUUGCGACGUUAGAGGUGAAAUUCUUGGAUCGUCGCAAGACGGACAGAAGCGAAAGCAUUUGCCAAAAACGCUUUCAUUGAUCAAGAACGAAAGUUAGAGGUUCGAAGGCGAUCAGAUACCGCCCUAGUUCUAACCAUAAACGAUGCCAGCUAGCGAUCCGCCGACGUUCCUCCGAUGACUCGGCGGGCAGCUUCCGGGAAACCAAAGCUUUUGGGUUCCGGGGGAAGUAUGGUUGCAAAGCUGAAACUUAAAGGAAUUGACGGAAGGGCACCACCAGGAGUGGAGCCUGCGGCUUAAUUUGACUCAACACGGGAAACCUCACCAGGCCCGGACACCGGAAGGGAUUGACAGAUUGAGAGC